UGGUUUAAUUCGAAGCAACGCGAAGAACCUUACCAAAUCUUGACAUCCUUUGACAACUCUAGAGAUAGAGCCUUCCCCUUCGGGGGACAAAGUGACAGGUGGUGCAUGGUUGUCGUCAGCUCGUGUCGUGAGAUGUUGGGUUAAGUCCCGCAACGAGCGCAACCCUUAAGCUUAGUUGCCAGCAUUAAGUUGGGCACUCUAAGUUGACUGCCGGUGACAAACCGGAGGAAGGUGGGGAUGACGUCAAAUCAUCAUGCCCCUUAUGAUUUGGGCUACACACGUGCUACAAUGGACAAUACAAAGGGCAGCUAAACCGCGAGGUCAUGCAAAUCCCAUAAAGUUGUUCUCAGUUCGGAUUGUAGUCUGCAACUCGACUACAUGAAGCUGGAAU
This 391-nucleotide ribosomal RNA is filed under the name uncultured Staphylococcus sp. Its description in RNAcentral is "bacterial SSU rRNA". It matches the Rfam family "Bacterial small subunit ribosomal RNA", at positions 942 to 1332 of the family's 1533-position model. The record is from RNAcentral. Lineage: Bacteria; Bacillati; Bacillota; Bacilli; Caryophanales; Staphylococcaceae.